UCGCCUCCUCGCCUUCAACCCAUCGACAAUCGAGUAUCGACAGUGCUUCUGUGCUUCUUCGAGGCUUCGACGCUCCUCCUCCAAUCUUCAAACUCCAAUCUCAGCAUUCACCACGGAAUCAAGUGUAGAAUCUCGUAAUGGAAUACAUUAGUUUGUGACAAUCUUGACGAAGCCAAGCGUCUGAGCUGGACUGGGGAAAGGUGUAAAGUUGUAACUACGGAUGGAAUUCUCCUUACCGAAGCUGGUACUAUGACUGGAGGCACAACUGGUGGAAUGGAGGCAAGGUCGAACAAAUGGGACGAUAAGAAGAUGAAGUAUGCUGAAAAUUGGUUAUCCGUUACAUGUAUAUAAAUUAUGUAUAUUUUUGACACACGAUAAUAUUUGGGACGUGUGAUAUUUUGGGAUACGAAUUAAUAUAUAAUGAUAA
Long non-coding RNA from Amaranthus tricolor (Joseph's coat), 427 nucleotides. RefSeq lists it as uncharacterized. NCBI's taxonomy places the organism in Eukaryota, Viridiplantae, Streptophyta, Magnoliopsida, Caryophyllales, Amaranthaceae. The transcript has 3 exons. The record is from RefSeq and is a predicted model, not a curated record.